This 1244-nucleotide ribosomal RNA is filed under the name metagenome. RNAcentral's name for it is "bacterial LSU rRNA". It matches the Rfam family "Bacterial large subunit ribosomal RNA", at positions 1564 to 2818 of the family's 2925-position model. The record is from RNAcentral.
UGAAUACGAGAUGCUACGGCGUCGAAGCAGUGUAUGUCAGACUUCCAAGAAAAGCUCGCAAUGUCAUAAAUAAAGAAUGCCUGUACCAUAACCGACACAGGUGGGUAGGUAGAGUAUACUAAGGGGCGCGAGAUAACUCUCUCUAAGGAACUCGGCAAAAUAACUCCGUAACUUCGGGAGAAGGAGUGCCUUCUUUAAGAAGGUUGCAAUAACAAGAUCCAAGCAACUGUUUAUCAAAAACACAGGUCUCCGCUAAGUCGUAAGGCGAUGUAUGGGGGCUGACGCCUGCCCAGUGCCAGAAGGUUAAAGAAGCUGGUUAGCAAUAGCGAAGCUGGUGACUGAAGCCCUGGUGAACGGCGGCCGUAACAAUAACGGUCCUAAGGUAGCGAAAUUCCUUGUCGGGUAAGUUCCGACCCGCACGAAAGGCGUAAUGAUUUGGAUACUGUCUCGGAGAGGGACUCGGUGAAAUAGACUUGUCUGUGAAGAUGCGGACUACCUGCACCAGGACAGAAAGACCCUAUGAAGCUUUACUGUAACCUGAAAUUGAAAUUGGACUUUAUUUGCGCAGUAUAGGUGUGAGCGUUGAAAGUAAUCUUGCGGGAUUAGUGGAGCCAUCAGUGAGAUACCACUCCUAUAAUGUUAGAUUUCUAACUUUGGAUCAUGAUCUGGUCAAAGAACAGUUUCAGGCGGGCAGUUUGACUGGGGCGGUCGCCUCCCAAAUGGUAACGGAGGCGUACAAAGGUUUCCUCUGAACGGGUAGAAAUCGUAUCUAGAGUGUAAAGGCAUAAGGAAGCUUGACUGUGAGACCUACAAGUCGAGCAGGGACGAAAGUCGGUCUUAGUGAUCUGACGGUGCUGAGUGGAAAGGCCGUCACUCAACGGAUAAAAGUUACUCUAGGAUAACAGGCUGAUCUCCCCCAAGAGUUCACAUCGACGGGGAGGUUUGGCACCUCGAUGUCGGCUCAUCGCAUCCUGGGGCGGUAGUACGUCCCAAGGGUUGGGCUGUUCGCCCAUGAAAGCGGUACGCGAGCUGGGUUCAGAACGUCGUGAGACAGUUCGGUCCAUAUCCGGUGUAGGCGUUAGAAUAUUGAGAGGAGCCUUCUCUAGUACGAGAGGACCGAGAAGGACAUACCUCUGGUGUACCAGUUAUCGUGCCAACGGUAAACGCUGGGUAGCUAUGUAUGGAGAGGAUAACCGCUGAAAGCAUCUAAGUGGGAAGCCCACCUCAAGAUGAGUAUUCUCAUC